This 526-nucleotide ribosomal RNA is filed under the name uncultured organism. Its description in RNAcentral is "bacterial SSU rRNA". It matches the Rfam family "Bacterial small subunit ribosomal RNA", at positions 384 to 911 of the family's 1533-position model. The record is from RNAcentral.
UGAACCAGCCAAGUAGCGUGCAGGAUGACGGCCCUAUGGGUUGUAAACUGCUUUUAUAAGGGAAUAAAGUGGGUUACGUGUGACUUUUUGCAUGUACCUUAUGAAUAAGGACCGGCUAAUUCCGUGCCAGCAGCCGCGGUAAUACGGAAGGUCCGGGCGUUAUCCGGAUUUAUUGGGUUUAAAGGGAGCGUAGGCCGGAGAUUAAGCGUGUUGUGAAAUGUAGAGGCUCAACCUCUGCACUGCAGCGCGAACUGGUCUUCUUGAGUACGCACAACGUGGGCGGAAUUCGUGGUGUAGCGGUGAAAUGCUUAGAUAUCACGAAGAACUCCGAUUGCGAAGGCAGCUCACGGGAGCGCAACUGACGCUGAAGCUCGAAAGUGCGGGUAUCGAACAGGAUUAGAUACCCUGGUAGUCCGCACGGUAAACGAUGGAUGCUCGCUGUUGGCCUGAAUAGGUCAGCGGCUAAGCGAAAGCAUUAAGCAUCCACCUGGGGAGUACGCCGGCAACGGUGCAACUCAAAGGAAUU